AACGGAUUCAAAAAUCUCUCUUUACAUCAGAGUAUAAAGAUAAAAUGAGUCAUUCCGGUCCCGACAAACUAAUUUUAUAGGUUAGACAUUUUGCCAACUAGUUAAUAAUCCUACUACCUUCACAUCAGAGUACAAAGAUUAAAAGAAUCAUUCCGGUCCCAAAAACACUAAUUGUAUAGGUUUGACAAUUUGCCAACUAGUUAACAAUCCUAUUACCUUGCCAGUAUACUUGUGAGAAUUUGAAGUCCACAGUAUGUCUUAGAUGUAGAUCGUCGUCUUUGGAUCUGCUUCAACAUGCAUUCUUCGCAUUUUUAUCUCUUAAAAAGAUACUGGAGACCUUCCCUGAUUGCAGCUGCCUCACUGUAUUGUUCUAUUGGAGAACCUGCAAUCAACCAACAAGUAGUUAUCAGUAACAUCACUAAUAGAAUAACCUAUACCCUCUUCAUGAUGACAAUUCAACCUUGCAUGUCUAGAAUUCUGCGGGAAAUAUUUCCUUAUAAUCUUAAAGACACCCUUACCAAGUCAUAAAACUAACAGUAAAGGCAUUGAAGUUGUGUGCCACAUUUUAAGAAGAUACUGACAUCAGAAUGUGCAUCUCGCAGCAAAUUCCAGUGGAGCACAGAAGACAAGCCGCAGAUGCCAUUGCGAUGGAGGCCUACUGGCGUGUGCAGGAUCCGGUUUAUGGGAGUGUUGGGUUCAUCUCAAUGUUGCAGAGGGAG
RNAcentral lists this long non-coding RNA (719 nucleotides) under Musa acuminata (dwarf banana). RNAcentral's name for it is "long non-coding RNA (MACU_LNC006408)". Lineage: Eukaryota; Viridiplantae; Streptophyta; Magnoliopsida; Zingiberales; Musaceae. The record is from RNAcentral.